RNAcentral lists this ribosomal RNA (408 nucleotides) under uncultured bacterium. Its description in RNAcentral is "partial 16S ribosomal RNA". It matches the Rfam family "Bacterial small subunit ribosomal RNA", at positions 28 to 526 of the family's 1533-position model. The record is from RNAcentral.
GACGAACGCUGGCGGCGUGCUUAACACAUGCAAGUCGAACGAAGUGGCGCACGGGUGAGUAACGCGUAAUCAACCUGCCCUUCAGAGGGGCACCACAGUUGGAAACGACUGCUAAUACCGCAUACUGAAGGAGGGGAUUGCGUCUGCUUAGCUUGUUGUAUGGGUAACGGCCCACCAAGGCGAUGAUCAGUAGCCGGUUUGAGAGGAUGAACGGCCACAUUGGGGCUGGGACACGGCCCAGUCUCCUACGGGAGGCAGCAGGUGGGAAUCUUCCCAAAUGGACGAAAGUCUGACGGAGGAACGCCGCGUGAGUGAUGACGGCCUUCGGGUUGUAAAGCUCUGUUAAUCGGGACGCGGUACCGGAAUAGAAAGCCACGGCUAACUACGUGCCAGCAGCCGCGGUAAUAC